This 198-nucleotide ribosomal RNA is filed under the name uncultured bacterium. RNAcentral's name for it is "partial 16S ribosomal RNA". It matches the Rfam family "Bacterial small subunit ribosomal RNA", at positions 335 to 525 of the family's 1533-position model. The record is from RNAcentral.
ACUCCUACGGGAGGCAGCAGUAGGGAAUCUUCCGCAAUGGACGAAAGUCUGACGGAGCAACGCCGCGUGAGUGAAGAAGGUUUUCGGAUCGUAAAACUCUGUUGUCAGAGAAGAACAUGUCGGAGAGUAACUGCUCCGGCCUUGACGGUAUCUGACCAGAAAGCCACGGCUAACUACGUGCCAGCAGCCGCGGUAAUA